UUUUUGUUGGCUCCAAACAGAUGGGGGAGAAAGAAGGACAGAAUCUACAUUGACUUAAUUGAUUCAAUUCUAUUCAUUGAUGGGUUAUAUGGACCUCAUCUGUCACUUAUCAUGCUUGGCCUGACCACAUUAACAACCUUACUAAUAUUAUUAUUCACAAAUUGAAAGAUGAUAAUGAUGUAAAAUAUUGUACUAGUACCCUUGCUGGCCAUUGAAGGCUUCAAGAAGGCUUGGAUUUCUAUUCCACUAGUACUGCAGGUGAAGAAGAAGAAGAUGGGGAAGUUCAAAACGGUUUGUGUCUUCUGUGGAAGUAAAUCAGGGAAUAGAAAAAUAUUCAGUGAUGCAGCCCUUGAUCUUGGAAGAGAACUGGUGGAAAGAAAGAUGGAUCUGAUUUAUGGAGGAGGAAGUAUUGGGCUUAUGGGUUUGGUGUCUGAGACUGUUUUCAAUGGUGGAUGUAAUGUUCUUGGAGUUAUUCCAACAGCUCUUAUUUCACACGAGAUAUCAGGCCGUGCAGUGGGUCAAGUAUUAGUUGUCUCAGACAUGCAUGAACGUAAGGCUGAGAUGUCUCACCGUGCUGAUGCUUUCGUCGCAAUUCCGGGAGGAUAUGGAACCAUGGAGGAGUUGCUUGAGGUGAUAACAUGGUCUCAGCUUGGAAUCCACAAUAAACCAGUUGGUCUUCUAAAUGUUGAUGGAUAUUAUGACUGCUUGCUUGGACUUUUCGACAAAGGCGUUGAGGAAGGUUUCAUAAAACCCUCUGCAAGGGAUAUUGUAGUCUCUGCUGAGAACCCCCGAGAGCUGAUAGAGAAAAUGGAGGUAGGCCCAUCAUUCAUAAUUUCAGAUCAUAGCAAACAAGGUUGCUAACGCUUAUUUAUUUAUUUUGUUAACUAAGUGAAUCAUACAAAGAAGCCCUUCUUGUAUUACAUCAUUGAAGGAAUACACGCCAAUGCAUGACCAAGGAACAGCUAGUACAAGCUGGAAAGUGGAAGCACCUGCUGGUUCCACCUCUUGAAAGAAUGUUGCCCUUUUUAUACUUUCUUGUCACUCAAUUUCAUCAGUGAAAUUAAAUGGAAUUAACCCAUUCAAGC
RNA transcript from Macadamia integrifolia, 1085 nucleotides. It is a transcript of the gene named probable cytokinin riboside 5'-monophosphate phosphoribohydrolase LOGL1, with no coding region annotated. The transcript is spliced from 7 exons. Lineage: Eukaryota; Viridiplantae; Streptophyta; Magnoliopsida; Proteales; Proteaceae. The record is from RefSeq and is a predicted model, not a curated record.